GCAAAAAUGGCACUGAGCCUGAGUCUUUCCACAAGGUGCUCAAGGGUCUUUAUGAGAAGGGCAGAAAGAUGGACUGGAAGGUGCCUGAGCCUGAGGGCCAAACAAGUCCCAAGAAUGCAGCUGUCUUCUCCUCAGUGCUGGCGCUCUGACUACCCUUCCCAAAGAACCACGGCCCUCUCCCUUUACUGUUCUAUAGCCCCAGAACUGGGAGAUGGCUUCCUAAGUUGGCUAUACCUUGUCCACUUCCAGUACUGGACGUGCUCAGGGUCUAGGGUCACAGAUGGUGCUAUUAAUUGAACUGGAACACAGCAGAAUUGUUGCAAAGGUUCUAGGAGCCAGAUUCAUUCCUUCUUCAUUCUUUGCAAAACAGUGGUACAGACAUGGAGUCUAGAAUUGACCCAGAUGGAAAGUAAUUGGUAUUCUUAAUAUCCUGGGUGACUAAUAUCCAGGCAGAGAAGCUCCUGGAACCAUAACUGUAAGUUCCUAGCUGGCUAGGGAUUGAAGUCCUGGACAGUGACAGAGGAUACCACAGUAGUUCAAGACUUAGCACAAGUCACCAACUGCUUCAGGGAUACCUGGAGGGGCCAGCAAGUAGAGUGUUGGUGGCCCAAGCAAACCAGUGUUGCCAAUACCAUUGCCAAAAGGGCCUUUGGAUCCUGGACAAAGCUUGGCUGCCGGCUUCAUUUAUUCCUGCUGAUGGCUGAGAAGCAUCUGUCUUCCAUCCCACUUGCCUGUCCCAAGUUUUGUUCCAUUUUUUAAAAAUUUGUUGUAAACUGCAUGUUUUAUAAAAUAAAAAUAAAAUAUCGUUUGUUA
This 813-nucleotide long non-coding RNA is filed under the name Homo sapiens (human). Its description in RNAcentral is "long non-coding RNA NONHSAT163609". Lineage: Eukaryota; Metazoa; Chordata; Mammalia; Primates; Hominidae. The record is from RNAcentral.